This 252-nucleotide ribosomal RNA is filed under the name uncultured bacterium. Its description in RNAcentral is "partial 16S ribosomal RNA". It matches the Rfam family "Bacterial small subunit ribosomal RNA", at positions 524 to 776 of the family's 1533-position model. The record is from RNAcentral.
UACGAAGGGGGCUAGCGUUGCUCGGAAUCACUGGGCGUAAAGGGUGCGUAGGCGGGUCUUAAGUCAGGGGUGAAAUCCUGGAGCUCAACUCCAGAACUGCCUUUGAUACUGAAGAUCUUGAGUUCGGGAGAGGUGAGUGGAACUGCGAGUGUAGAGGUGAAAUUCGUAGAUAUUCGCAAGAACACCAGUGGCGAAGGCGGCUCACUGGCCCAAUACUGACGCUGAGGCACGAAAGCGUGGGGAGCAAACAGG